UGAGGAACAUGACCUUCGGCGGGGGAGUAGCCGGCCCAACGGCCGGGUAAUACCGCGUACGACCACUUUGGGACAUCCCUAGGUGGUGAAAGCAGCAAUGCGCCGAUGGAGUGCCUCGCGGCCUAUCAGCUAGUUGGUGAGGUAACGGCUCACCAAGGCGACGACGGGUAGCUGGUCUGAGAGGAUGGCCAGCCACAUUGGGACUGAGACACCGGCCAGACCUCCGUACGGGAGCAG
RNAcentral lists this ribosomal RNA (237 nucleotides) under uncultured bacterium. Its description in RNAcentral is "partial 16S ribosomal RNA". It matches the Rfam family "Bacterial small subunit ribosomal RNA", at positions 118 to 347 of the family's 1533-position model. The record is from RNAcentral.